AAUAUUGCGCAAUGGAGGAAACUCUGACGCAGCGACGCCGCGUGAGCGAUGAAGGUCUUCGGAUCGUAAAGCUCUGUCCUCAGGGAAGAAGAAAGUGACGGUACCUGAGGAGGAAGCACCGGCUAACUACGCGCCAGCAGCCGCGGUAAUACGUAGGGGGCAAGCGUUGCCCGGAAUUAUUGGGCGUAAAGGGUGCGUAGGCGGCCUUUUAAGUCAGAUGUGAAAGACCACGGCUUAACCGUGGGGUUGCAUUUGAAACUGGAGGGCUUGAGUAUCGGAGAGGGUAGUGGAAUUCCCAGUGUGGCGGUGGAAUGCGUAGAUAUUGGGAGGAACACCAGUGGCGAAGGCGACUACCUGGACGAAAACUGACGCUGAGGCACGAAAGCUAGGGGAGCAAACA
RNAcentral lists this ribosomal RNA (400 nucleotides) under uncultured bacterium. Its description in RNAcentral is "partial 16S ribosomal RNA". It matches the Rfam family "Bacterial small subunit ribosomal RNA", at positions 360 to 774 of the family's 1533-position model. The record is from RNAcentral.